UAUGUGAUCGUCUCUCGCAUAUCAAUAAGCGGAGGAAAAGAAACUAACAAGGAUUCCCCUAGUAACGGCGAGUGAAGCGGGAAGAGCUCAAAUUUGAAAUCUUAAAGGGUUUCCCUGUACGAAUUGUAGUUUAAAGAAGUGUUUUCUGUUGAGGUUUUGGUAAAAGUUCUUUGGAAUAGGACAUCAUAGAGGGUGAGAAUCCCGUAUUUGACCUUUACUUUCAACUUUGUGAUACACUUUCAAAGAGUCGGAUUGUUUGGGAAUGCAGUCCAAAAUGGGUGGUAAAUUUCAUCUAAAGCUAAAUAUUGGCGAGAGACCGAUAGCGAACAAGUACCGUGAGGGAAAGAUGAAAGGAACUUUGAAAAGAGAGUUAAACAGUACGUGAAAUUGUCAAAAGGGAAGCGUUUGACACCAGUGUUGUUUUUCUGAAAAUCAAUUAAAGAACUGUUUAUGCUAAGUUGUUUAGACUUUAUCAGCUAACUGUUUAGUUUUGAGCUUUUCUUUAAUGCACUUUUCAGUUAACAAGUCAACAUCAAUUUCUUUUGCUGUAAAAAAGCUUGAGGAAGGUGGCUUGAGAUUCGUCUUAAGUGUUUAUAGCCUCUUGCCUAUGCAGUCGGAGAGAUUGAGGUCUGCAGCGUAGAUCCUUCGGGGCUAAAUGCAUUUGUGCUAAGUUAUAGCAUUUUAUAGACAACUUGUUGACUAUGAUUUGUCUUGUAGCUUACUCGCUUAUGUUAUUUUACCUACGCUUAGGAUGUUGACACACGCGCGUGCUCG
This 774-nucleotide ribosomal RNA is filed under the name uncultured Neocallimastigales. RNAcentral describes it as "partial large subunit ribosomal RNA". It matches the Rfam family "Eukaryotic large subunit ribosomal RNA", at positions 24 to 643 of the family's 3401-position model. Lineage: Eukaryota; Fungi; Neocallimastigomycota; Neocallimastigomycetes; Neocallimastigales. The record is from RNAcentral.